RNAcentral lists this ribosomal RNA (250 nucleotides) under uncultured bacterium. Its description in RNAcentral is "partial 16S ribosomal RNA". It matches the Rfam family "Bacterial small subunit ribosomal RNA", at positions 524 to 773 of the family's 1533-position model. The record is from RNAcentral.
UACGGAGGGUGCGAGCGUUGUCCGGAAUCACUGGGCGUAAAGGGUGCGUAGGCGGCUGGGUAAGUCACGUGUGAAAGCCCGGGGCUCAACCCCGGAGCUGCAUGUGAGACUGUCCGGCUCGAGCACGGUAGAGGCGAGUGGAAUUCCUGGUGUAGCGGUGGAAUGCGUAGAGAUCAGGAAGAACACCGGUGGCGAAGGCGGCUCGCUGGGCCGUUGCUGACGCUGAGGCACGAAAGCGUGGGGAGCAAAC